Anas platyrhynchos (mallard) is the source of this 7677-nucleotide non-coding RNA. The record is from RefSeq and is a predicted model, not a curated record. NCBI's taxonomy places the organism in Eukaryota, Metazoa, Chordata, Aves, Anseriformes, Anatidae.
CCGUUUAUUUUUUUUCCUUCUACUGGAGAAGGUGAUAUCUGGUGGAAGGCGCUGAGUUUGCCAGGCUCUCCUACGUUUAAAGAUCUGGUGGGAGCCAGAUUGGAGACUCUUUAAAUGAUCGAGCUGGGUAGCUUUAAAUCUUUCUUUCACGCAGUGGCUAUUUCUCAUUCAGCUGCCUCCUCUAAAAUAUCCCGAGUUAGAGGAAAAGGUGUGCGAGGAUGGUCCAUUAAUUUCUAUUGUCCACUAAAUAGGUGCUUCAUCCAUCUACAGGAGCUGCUGGAAAAGAGCAUUUGUCAGGAGAGAAACAGUGUGUAAGAGCUAUGGAGGCGGAUAACCUUUUUUUCCUCGGCCAGUAAAUUUCUAAAAACCUAGGAUGUGCUAAAUGAAGUAGUUUUUCAGAUGAGUCCUUAUGAACCAGGAGUAGUGGCCCAUUCCAUACGUAUGGAGUAACGGUAUUUAGAAGGGUGUCUGAUCUUCGAUAGACAGGGAAACUGUUUCUAUGGAGUUGAAAUACACGUUUUCUGUGUAUUAGGCACUACUUACCUAAUCCAUAAGUGUUAAGAAGCAUGGGAAAUCUGUAUAUGAACAUGCUCACAGAAAAUGAUGGGGUUGGAUACAGCAAGUAUUAGAUAAACACUAAAGGUGCGGAACUAAUAAUGUGGAAAAACAUUUUGAGGUUUAUUUUUAGCUGUUCGCAGGUAUGGCCAUUGAUAAGUAAGCUUCCUUGACCCUGUCUUGACAUUCAUACAGAAAAAGGGCUGGUUCUCUAGGGCUUUAAAAGCACAGAAAAAGAACUUCAGAUGAUGGAAGUGUCUAAGUAUAUGUUCUUCCCAAAUUGUUUAAAAACUCCUUCACAGGUGAGCUAAAUAGAUCAGUGACUUCCUAUGCUUUAUUAGCACUCUUCAGUGGUUGCAUCAAUUCAUAUUCAUUUGGAGUUACUUCAUCAUGAAAAAUAAACCAGCACUAUAUUUGACUUCUAAAGAUACUUUAAUCUGUUCUGAUCAUGUACAAGUAGUAUGUUGCCUUGUUCAGGAGAUGGUAACAAGCAUGCUAAAGGCCUGUCCUCAAAAAUACUGGUUCUGUUGUACUAACCGCUAGCCAGUAUAAUUUUUGUUAAUGAUGAUAAUUUGCUUUUUUUUUUUUCCCUUUUAUUUAUAAGUUUUACAACAGGAUGAUCUUUGAUCUGAAAAGUAUAAGGUGCACCUCUAUUUCUCAUACAAAUAUAUACCUAUGAGAUGUCCAAAUACAGAGUAACUGAAAGCAGGUUACGCAGUGUAGUGAGUGUCUUGCCAGUGCUGCCAAUAGCAAGAUGGUCUUCCAUGCCUUCACUCUAUUUUCACACUAUUUUGUACCUUUUCUGUGUAGGAGAAUCUGUCCUCUUUAAUAGUCGCAUUUAAAUUAGCUUAUGCAUAAAUGUGACUAAAUCUUGGCUGGGAUGCUGAAAGCAAGUCUGCAGCCCUGACUAAACGGUGCUCCAUAUGCAGAGAUGUCUGCCUUCAGUGAGCAUCUCAAAGCAUAGCCCAGAUAAAUCUUUUGGAACAGUGCUUGCGUUUUUCUAUGCACCUAUACAACAUCGAGCAUGGUUCUUGAUGGCUGCAGCAAUACAGAGGACAUCAGUGAACCAGGUUAGAACGAGAACUCUCGUACCACCUUUGAACAAUCCCCUUCCCUGUUUCAUAUGGUGCGAAACCCUGUUUUGUAUAGUGCAAAAAAGCAAAACAAUUUGCUUUCUUUGUUUCAGAGCACAGGUACCAGGCUUUCCAAAAUGAUACUGAUAAUAAUUACCAUUAUAGGUUGGGGAGGUAUGCUCAGUGCAUCCUGACAAUGAGUUCUUUAAAGCAGAAUUUCCAAAAUCACUAAUAGUCUUUAAAAGAAGACAAACUAGAAGCCUUCUCAAUCUUUGUUCUGAUUAUGUGUUGAUGGCUGCUCUGUUGAAAGGGCAUCAAUUUGUUGUUAGUAUUGUAUAGAAUUGACUUAUUUUUUAAAUACGGCUGAGGAAAAUUGGUGGGUAAUGUAGAACUUGUGAAAAUAGCUGCAUUUAGACCUUGAAAAAGAGGGAGAAUCUUUCUGUGAUUAUUGAUAGGAGGUAUUUUUUCAGUCUCACAUCUAACUUGCAAAAAAUGCUGUUAUCUAGGUGUUAUUUGCAACUUGUGGUAUCAGAGAAACUGCCACCCGCUUUGUAAAGCUAAAAGGUAGCAGCACCAGUCAGACUUUAUUUUGAUACGCACUGUGGAUGUUAAUUGGCUGUGGCCAUAUAGAACUAUUUUUAACACGUUCAUCAGUAUGAACACUUGAAAUUAGCAUUUGCCAGUCUUGAUUGCACAGUUUGCUAGCUUGGUUACACUGGUUACAGGAUAUCCUGGAAAUUUUUAAGUCUGUGUUUGUGCUAAGAAAAAUAUAAAUGUCUUAUCACAUCUGUAUUUUGAAGAGUUUAAUAACUGGUAUUGUCACAAGUAACACCUGCAUUUGGAAAAAAUGUGCAAACACAGUGUAUUUUGUUUCCUUAGGAUCUUUGCCAGGCUUAUGUAUAUCCUGGUGGUGUUGUUUCCUAGUAAAAGUAGUUCGUUCUUUUUUUUUUAAACUGGAGGUGAGGUCCAACUUUCAGAAACCAAAGAAAGAAAUAUGCUGGAUCAUAGUUAAAAUGUGAGAAUCGUGCCUGGCAGCUGGGCAGUAUUUGCAAAUGCCAAACUUUUUUUAUUAAAAAGUGACAACUGGAAUAAACGGAAAGUCUUCAAAAAAAAAAAUUUCUUUUGUGGCUUGUCAGGGAAAGGAUGGUCUAUUGAGGCAAGGAGUUCUUCCAAAUAACCGAGCUUUUGACAGAAAUAAGACAUUGAACUAUGUAGUCCAGAUACUGUUUACUUAAUGCUGUACGCAGAAGUUAGUUGUUUUCCUCUGUGCCUCAGCUUUAUAUUCUGUUAUAUGUUAAUUAUCUUUGUUGUUGUUGUUGUUGAUUCUCCUGGAUAUUUGAAGUCAUACUGCCUCACUAGUCUUAGUGUUCUCUUUUGUAGAUACUUGUUGCAGUUACAUGCUAGCAAGCUAAUCUUGGAUAUACAUAGGAUAACAAGGAAUUUCAUCUAGUGUCUAAUUUCCUUUUAAAAUGUCUAUUCUGGAUUGUGCUGUUAUUUUUUUUUCCACAUUGAUCUUUCUUGAAAAUCAUUUGGGUCCAAUGUUCUUUGAAUGUUUUCUGAUGAUAUCAUUAACCACAGGAACAAUUGGAGAUGACAAAUUGUCUCAGUCAGCGCGGACCCGUAACCUUUAGAAAUUGCACUAUGCUAACUUGUUUUGUAUUAACAUUUUCAGGCAAAAUCCAGAAGGCUAUAAUCAUGCUUUUUCUGUAUUUUAAGUGGUCAAUAAAACUUCCGGAGUGGUCCCGCCUUGCUGUGGGUCAAAAUACAGGUUUUUAAUUUACAUCUUGAUAGCUCCAACUUCUGGACAAUGUGUAGCCAGAGCAUUGUCUCUUCCCUGUAUUCUGGUAAUCCAAACAAGAGCAAGUAUGGCUAAUAAAAGCUCUUGUAUCGCAUCUAGUUAUUCUUUGAAUGAAACAAAAUGAAUAAACAGGAAUUUGCUGACACUUUGCAACACACAAUAGAGCGUCCGUUCUCUGCAUUGCAGUAGAGACUGCUUUUACUGAUGAAGAAUGAUUAUAAGCAUCUUUUCCAUAAGGUCAGAGUAAAUCUGGUUCAUCCCUCAUAUUCCUGGGUAUGUGAUGAAGGAGGAAAAGAUAAGCUACCUAUGAAUUGAAGUAUAGCUGUACAUCUUUAGUUUGAAUAUCUUUGUGACCAGAGGAAUACAAACAAGGUCAUAAGCAAGCAAUGUAUCUUAGGAGGCAGGUCAGAAAUCCAGAACAAGUGGGUCAUAUUUUGUAGGGCUUCUGGCUGUGACUGACAAGCGUGACUUCACCAGGCUUAAUUAAAUUAAUGCUGCUGUCCUUCUAGGGGUCAGAAAUACGUAUGUGGGAACCAAACAUGGUUUACAUAUGUCUGCAUGCAUACAGGCAUUCUCAUCACCUGGUUAGACUUCCAGGCUGGCACAUGCAGGAGGACUUCCCUAAACACUUUGGAUUAAAUCAUAUCCAUCUAGCACCCCCUCUUUAAAUUAAGACCUCCCACUGAAGGCGAAGCACCAUGUCAUGAGCUUUUUUAGCAAUGUUUAUUGCUCUUUAUUUUAAUAUGUCUCUUAUCUGUAGUCUAAAUUUGACUGGAACUGAACCAUCCUACCUUAUGUUGUUGGCUUGAAACUCCUUGCCUUUGCUUACCGUUUUCCUAAUUCUUAUUAUUUACUUCGCUCUUUAUUUUAUUUAUUUAUUUUUCUUUUUGAACCUCUGUCUGGCAUGUUUUCUGAUCGUAAUAUGUAUUCUGGCUUCCCUGUUUUUUUCAGUAUCCUUGUUAAAUCUUAUACACUGGAACUCAGCAUAAUUCUGGUAAUGAGGUCACAUGAACAAAGGUGUUCAGCUGCCGCUGAAGCAGUAAUUGCUGUUUCUACUUCAUUUCAUUCGUACUGAUUUAACUUGAAAUCAAAGCAAACUGGAUAGAAAAAAUAGGGUUUCCCUGCUGUGGAGAGUCACAUGAAUGUGUGACUCUAAGGUUUGUACUUCACACAAAGUGUACGAGUUCUGUGUAGAUGUGAAAUAAAACAAAAAAUGCUGAUGUGAUACAGGAAGAAGAGCAAGUUGGAAGAAGUGUGCUCUGUAUGUAAGACUAUAAGCUCAAAAGUUAUCUGUUAAAUUAGGCUUAUUCAGUGAGGGGUUUUUGUUAGUUGUUUAUUUUGCUUGAGGUUCAUAAAGAUCAGAUUCUAAUUAGAAGUAUGUUUUCAAAUACGUAAAGUUUGCCUUUUUAUGCCCAGUAUCACAUUGAACUAGCCUUGUCCAGAUGCUUUGAAGAUGGAUUUGAAAUUGAUUUAAGAGUUCAUGUACCUACAUUUCUAACUGAUUAUUUUCUAAGCCUGUCUGCCACCUGUCCCCUUGGCCUUUAAUGAGUCAUUUGUCAACAGAUUGAUUCGGUGCCCUAAUGAUUCCUAAAAAUCUUUCUUCCUUCUGUGUUAAGUAGGGGAGAAAGAGGGGGGGUUACAGCCAAACUUGUUUCCUAAAUACUGAUUUUGGUGUUUAGGUAUACAAUCCUUCCUACAUUUAGCAUGGCAUUCUACAGUAUGUUAUUGAACAUCACUAAACUUGCUGGGUAGCUCCAUGCAAUUCUUUGCAUCUUUAAUUCUUACCAAAAUAUCCAUAUUUAUUUUUCAGACCUCUUCCAAACUGGAGCAAUAAGAGCAUAUUUUUCAAAUUGCAUGUGCUACAGUUCUUCUGGAGGGUCCUCUUACAACUGGGGUUUGCUAGGAAGCAGUUAGAGCUCAGCUUAAUCUAUUGAGAGAGAACUCUGACAAGAACUUUAACAGAAUUAUAUGGGCGCGAUGGUAUGAUAACAGAUAAGUUAAAAGUUAAUGUUAUCAAUAUGUUUGACUGGGAACACCACUGUAUGCAGCUUUUGAAUGCUUUGGACAAUGUGCUGUGGGUUAAAUGUAAGCCUUAGUUUCUGAAGGAAGAUCACGGUGGUUUUCUCAUAGCUGUGCAGAACAGUUUGACUCUGCACAUAUGUAAAUAACAAGGCAACGCAUUAAACUUAUACCUUGGUUCGUGUCUUCAGUGCCAGAAUCGAUGUGUCAGUUUGAGCUGUUCAAGUUGGAAGUCAUACUGUAGGCUCUUACUCAAUUUUCUGUGGGUUUUAAAAAAAAGAAAUCUCUGUUAAGCUCCAAAUACGUUUUUUUAGACAAAAACUUAACCUCUUCCUUCUUAAGAAAUUAAUAGUUUUCCAGAAGUCCAGACCUCUGCCAUUCUUGUCAGGGCAUGUUUUUCUUGAAUCACUGUUUUGUUUUUCAUGUUAUGUAGCAAGGCUUGUGGUCAGGAAUUCUGUCUCUCUGGAACUUUAACAAGAGAAUCAUUUCUUCAGUACUUGCAACUGCUUCUCAAUGAGCAAAUGAGUGUUACUGAGUCUACUGGAAUUGCUUCACUGUUUGCUGUAUACUCACUAUUUCCAUGUCAAAUUUUGUUUGAAAAUAUUGCUUUAACAGCUCUAACAGUUUAAAGAGACUUCAAGCUGAGUUGGUUCCUCAAAUGUUUGCCAGCGUGUCGAGGCAAGGGGUGAAUAGUGUGGUAAAUAUUCCAAGGAUACUGUAUUUCUGGUUAUACCAGGAAAAAACGGUUGUUUUUCAGAUCCAAGAACGGUGCCUUGAGCGCUGAGUGCUCAUCUCAGCGUUGGGAAUAGCAGUGUGCACAUGGCAAGCUUGGACCUUUGGGCCUGAAAUAAUAAAUGUACCAAAAAUGAGGAUGUGGUUCGGGGCUCCCCUCCACAACCAGGGCAUUUUUUCAUUGGGAAUUUAAGAAUCCCAUGUAACAGUGGGCACGUUACGACAAAUGUUUAUGGAACUUCAUAAAUAUAUUAAUUUUAAAAGGUCAUAUUAGAGUUAACAUUUGGCAAAGCAGUGUUAGAGUAACCACUGGGAUUUUUAGGUAGCACAGCAAAGUGAUGAGGGGAAAUUAUGAUGUACUUGGUUGAAAACCGAGUUAUUGAACAUAUGCUAGUCCUUCUGACCAAGUCUUGGUAAAAUAACUUGGUGUUAAGUCUUAGUUUCUUCCAGAAAUGAUUUCAUUAAUUGCUGAUAAGAUGUCUGCCUUCAGUACUGGAAUACUAGGCAAGGUGUAAUCUGUUUCGAUUGUGAAAAAUAUGUUUUAGGUUUUAUAUAUGAUAGUUACCUUUACAGAGUUGUGUGGAGAAAAUGAGACUGCUUACCAUAACAGUAGUUUUCUAAUACACCGGGCUGCAUGGUCUUUCUCUACCAGAGAGAAAAUAGCUUCAGAAGAAACUGAUUUCUUUGAAGUACAGGGACAUGGCACUGUUUUAUCUGAGGAGUAACUUUGCACGCAGACUUGUUCUGUUUUUUUAAGGGACUUCCUUUUUUUCCAGUGAAAUGGAUGACUAAAAGGAAAACAUUCAUUUCUGGCAAUUGACAUUUUUAGGUCAAAGUAUUUUUGAAGGUUUUUUUGUAGGUUCUGUUGUUAAAAUAACAAACUUACUGUGCUGUAAAAUCAGUGUCAUGUGCUUUUAUAAGGAGAGUUAACUAAAACUAAGUUUCUGGCUGGGGGAGAUGUUCUCACAUGCUUUGUUUGAACACGAAUUCGUCUGCUUCCUGUCUUUGUGGUUAAAAAGGCAAACAGAUAGAAGAUGCUUAUUAAGGUUUUUUAAGAAAUUAUGAGAACUCAGAGGGGAAUGUUAAAGUUCUCAUUAAAUUUGUGCUUCUGCUUGAACACCUCUAGCAUGUUCUAUCAGCCUUUGCUUACAGAGUGAGGGUGCUGCUCGCUCACAGCACAGAGUCUUGCUGCCAACACAUGUCAGCCUUGGGCAGUGUGUGUUUGAAUACCUUAGCAUGUAGAUUGAAAAGUGGGGUUUGCUGAAUAACUAAGAGUGCAACGUAGUAGUGCUUUACCUGCAUGCUCCUGAUGGUGUGAAACGUUACUGCAUAAUCUGUUUGGUGUCAGAUCAUAAACUGUUGUGUCCUGGUCCUGCCUCACGUAGUGCACACAUGAAACGGGAGAGAAAUGGACCUCAAAUGGCCUUUGUUGAAAGAUGCAGCAUCUAGAGAUGAGUCCUUUUCCCCAUGGAGCCACUGCCUUGCAAAAAAAAAAAAAAA